ACAGGGAGGGGAUUUGUGGAGAUUACAAAGGCUUGAAACGUCCCUCCUGGCUACGGAGCACCCAGGUCUGGGCAGACCCACGAUGGACAGACGGACAGGGCAGAGCGAAGCCACCGAGCCCACCAAGGACCAUCUCUUCUCCAUUGCCUGCUGCAGGGGUGGCUCCUGGGGUACCUGGAGGGGGAGCCGAGCCUUAUCUGACGGCAGCGUUUCCACGGAGGAGAUCAGAGGGCUUUGAAGGCGUCGCGGGAGCUCGGCGGAGCAGCUUGGGACGAGGCUGACAGUGAUUUGGCACUGCAGAUCCAUCCUUCCUCAGCUUUCCCACCAUUUCAGGUGUUGUGAUACCUCCAACUUGCAGAGCACCCAUGGAGCAGCCCCCUCAUCCCUCAGGAGACAUUCCGACCACCCAGGAAACUUUUUCAAGCCAGCCGCGAUGCAGAGGCUUUGUGCAUGGCCAGAUGCUCUUCUGCCUUCAAACUGGUGAAGAAAUCGCAAGGAGGGGCAUGAGUCGGCAGGGCUGAGGGGCAAAGCUGGACCCAAACUAGCAAACAGGGUGUUAAGGCACAUCAGGAACACGACAGCGACUAAAAUUCGCUGCCCUUAAUCUCAGCCCAGGGCAGAACGGAGGUCUGGGCUGCCUCUGCCUCCAGCUCUGGCCUGUCCCCUCUCCCAGCUGCUCUUUCUUAUUUCAUGCUCAUCCUGUUGUCCUGCCUGCAGGUCAUUAAAACCAUCUUUAAACUUUGCUUCCACCCAUCCCUAGGGCUAAGUGCACUCCAGAUGACUCUGAUCUCCUCCCCAACCCCUCGUCCCCUACAUUAACCCCUUUGGGACCUGCUAAUGCAGCGCAAAAGCGGAGAGAUAAAUCACGUGAGCUCCGAUUCCCCAUCCCUGAUGGUUUUAGCUGCAGUAAGAAAUCCCCCCGGCUGCCCCGACAGGCCGAGGUGGAUCAUUUCUUCAACUGCUCGACUUUGGAGCCGGCACGCUCACAAACCAGAACAGCGACAGUUUAAACUCAGGGAAGACGGAGGCAAAGGGAUAUUGUCCCUUCUGCCCUCCCCGCCGUGGCGCAGGUCCUUACGGCAGGACGGGCAGCUGCCUUUUGAGCAUCCCCAACCAGCUCCGUGAGUCCCCAGCGCGCAGUAGCCACAGCCCUACCUUGGUUUUUCUUCCCUGGAAGGAGUUUUCCGUAGCCGGCUGCCACCGCUCCG
Aquila chrysaetos chrysaetos is the source of this 1208-nucleotide long non-coding RNA. RefSeq lists it as uncharacterized. The transcript has 4 exons. The record is from RefSeq and is a predicted model, not a curated record. NCBI's taxonomy places the organism in Eukaryota, Metazoa, Chordata, Aves, Accipitriformes, Accipitridae.